This 660-nucleotide ribosomal RNA is filed under the name Stanisicarion freycineti. RNAcentral's name for it is "partial 16S large subunit ribosomal RNA". The stretch from base 205 to 405 matches the Rfam family "Archaeal large subunit ribosomal RNA", at positions 1797 to 2106 of the family's 2987-position model. The record is from RNAcentral. Lineage: Eukaryota; Metazoa; Mollusca; Gastropoda; Stylommatophora; Helicarionidae.
GUAUUUAGUACAAUUGAGAUUUGAAUAAAAAAAUGUUAAGAUUUUUUUAAUUAUAGAAUAUUAAAUUAAAUGUAUUAUAUGAGUUAAUCCUCUAAUAUUAAUUUAUUAAAAUAAUUUAAUAUUAAGUAUAUCUAUAUAUUAAAAUUAUAUUUAAAUUUAAUUAAAUUAAGAAUUAACUAUGUUAAAAUUAGUAUAUAUUUUUUGUUUUAUUAAGGAACUCGGCUAAUUAUUAUUCACCUGUUUAUCAAAAACAUAGUCUUAUGUAUUUAUAUAAGGUGAAACCUGCCCACUGAUGUUAAAUUUAAUGGCCGCAGUACCUUGACUGUGCUAAGGUAGCAUAAUAAAUUGACUUUUAAUUGGGGCCUUGAAUGAACGGAUAAAUGGAUAAUUUCUGUCUCAAUAAAAAUUUUAUAAGUUACUUAAAAGGUGAAAAUUCCUUUAAAUAAAUUAAAUAGACGAGAAGACCCUAGGAGUUUUUAAUUUUGUUGGGGCGACAGUAUAGCAUUAUAACCUAUAUAUAAAUAUUUAUAUAAAACGAAUAAUUUUAAUAAUAAAUAAACUACCCUAGGGAUAACAGCAUAAUUUAAUUUUAAGUUUGUGACCUCGAUGUUGGACUAGGGACUUUUAAAGCUAACAGUGUUAAUUGACAGUUCUGUUCGA